Molecule: ribosomal RNA, 1343 nt
Filed under: uncultured bacterium
Lineage: Bacteria
Description: 16S ribosomal RNA
Rfam family: Bacterial small subunit ribosomal RNA
Source: RNAcentral
GACGAACGCUGGCGGCGUGCUUAACACAUGCAAGUCGAACGGAAAGGCCCUGCUUUUGUGGGGUGCUCGAGUGGCGAACGGGUGAGUAACACGUGAGUAACCUGCCCUUGACUUUGGGAUAACUUCAGGAAACUGGGGCUAAUACCGGAUAGGAGCUCCUGCUGCAUGGUGGGGGUUGGAAAGUUUCGGCGGUUGGGGAUGGACUCGCGGCUUAUCAGCUUGUUGGUGGGGUAGUGGCUUACCAAGGCUUUGACGGGUAGCCGGCCUGAGAGGGUGACCGGCCACAUUGGGACUGAGAUACGGCCCAGACUCCUACGGGAGGCAGCAGUGGGGAAUAUUGCACAAUGGGCGGAAGCCUGAUGCAGCAACGCCGCGUGCGGGAUGACGGCCUUCGGGUUGUAAACCGCUUUCGCCUGUGACGAAGCGUGAGUGACGGUAAUGGGUAAAGAAGCACCGGCUAACUACGUGCCAGCAGCCGCGGUGAUACGUAGGGUGCGAGCGUUGUCCGGAUUUAUUGGGCGUAAAGGGCUCGUAGGUGGUUGAUCGCGUCGGAAGUGUAAUCUUGGGGCUUAACCCUGAGCGUGCUUUCGAUACGGGUUGACUUGAGGAAGGUAGGGGAGAAUGGAAUUCCUGGUGGAGCGGUGGAAUGCGCAGAUAUCAGGAGGAACACCAGUGGCGAAGGCGGUUCUCUGGGCCUUUCCUGACGCUGAGGAGCGAAAGCGUGGGGAGCGAACAGGCUUAGAUACCCUGGUAGUCCACGCUGUAAACGGUGGGUACUAGGUGUGGGGUCCAUUCCACGGGUUCCGUGCCGUAGCUAACGCUUUAAGUACCCCGCCUGGGGAGUACGGCCGCAAGGCUAAAACUCAAAGGAACUGACGGGGCCCCGCACAAGCGGCGGAGCAUGCGGAUUAAUUCGAUGCAACGCGUAGAACCUUACCUGGGUUUGACAUGGAUCGGGAGUGCUCAGAGAUGGGUGUGCCUCUUUUGGGGUCGGUUCACAGGUGGUGCAUGGCUGUCGUCAGCUCGUGUCGUGAGAUGUUGGGUUAAGUCCCGCAACGAGCGCAACCCUUGUUCACUGUUGCCAGCACGUUAUGGUGGGGACUCAGUGGAGACCGCCGGGGUCAACUCGGAGGAAGGUGGGGAUGACGUCAAGUCAUCAUGCCCCUUAUGUCCAGGGCUUCACGCAUGCUACAAUGGCUGGUACAGAGAGUGGCGAGCCUGUGAGGGUGAGCGAAUCUCGGAAAGCCGGUCUCAGUUCGGAUUGGGGUCUGCAACUCGACCUCAUGAAGUCGGAGUCGCUAGUAAUCGCAGAUCAGCAACGCUGCGGUGAAUACGUUCCCGGG